RNAcentral lists this ribosomal RNA (437 nucleotides) under uncultured bacterium. Its description in RNAcentral is "bacterial SSU rRNA". It matches the Rfam family "Bacterial small subunit ribosomal RNA", at positions 30 to 463 of the family's 1533-position model. The record is from RNAcentral.
AUUGAACGCUGGCGGCAUGCUUUACACAUGCAAGUCGAACGGCAGCACGGGAGCUUGCUCCUGGUGGCGAGUGGCGAACGGGUGAGUAAUGCAUCGGAACGUACCCAGUAGUGGGGGAUAGCCCGGCGAAAGCCGGAUUAAUACCGCAUAUUUCCUGAGGGAGAAAGCGGGGGACCCUCGGGCCUCGCGCUACUGGAGCGGCUGAUGUCGGAUUAGCUAGUUGGUGAGGUAAAGGCUCACCAAGGCGACGAUCCGUAGCUGGUCUGAGAGGAUGAUCAGCCACACUGGGACUGAGACACGGCCCAGACUCCUACGGGAGGCAGCAGUGGGGAAUUUUGGACAAUGGGGGCAACCCUGAUCCAGCCAUGCCGCGUGAGUGAAGAAGGCCUCGGUUGUAAGACGUCUUCUAGGUGGAAGAAAGUACACUACCCGAACUA